This 1331-nucleotide long non-coding RNA is filed under the name Equus caballus (horse). Its description in RNAcentral is "lncRNA (ENSECAG00000049477.1)". The record is from RNAcentral. Lineage: Eukaryota; Metazoa; Chordata; Mammalia; Perissodactyla; Equidae.
AUUUCUGUGUAAAUCAAAUGAGUUUUAUGAUACAGAGCCUAGCCCAGUACUUAGCAAAUAAUAGACAGCGGACAGAAUAUUUCCAUUAAAAAUAGGUUGCCUCAGGGGCCUGCCUGACCGCAUAGCUGUUAAGUUUACAAGCUUUGUUUUGGAGGUCCGGGGUUCAUCAGUUUGGACCCCAGACGUAGACCUACAUACCACUUAUCAAGCCAUGCUGUGGCAGGCAUCCCACAUAUAAAGUAGAGGAAGAUGGGCAUGGAUGUUAACUCAGGGUCGGUCCUCCUCAGCAAAAGAGGAGGAUUGGCAGUGGAUGUUAGCUCAGGGCUAAUCUUCCUCACAAAAAAAUUAACGGCUUGUCUCAGAUUUUCCUAUCAGCAGAUGGAAGCAAGUCCUGACAUAGAAUUAAGUGGAUGGGCUCUAAUAGGAGGGAAGAGAGAGAGAAGAGUCCAGAGUUGCAUCAUUGGUUGGGGAGAACGAGCUCAAGAGAAUGUCAGAGUGCAGCACUGCACACAAUCAAGGCCGAAGCCAGUACACCAUGGGGAGUCAGGAAAAGGAGGUUGGGAGCGUAGGCUGGUGAGAUGGAGAACAAAGGCUAAGGAGGCACUUGACCUUGUCCUAAUUUUGCCUACACUGCAUUUGUGGAAAGAUUUCUGAGAGAAUAAGACCCAGAUAAAUUAGUAGAAUGAGAGGAAUCUUAUCUUAAGAAAAAAGAAGUUAUAGUCAUUCUCACAUAAUAAAAUAUGAGGAGAGAAAAGAGGAUUAAAAGUGAUAUUGCAUUUCUCAAGAGGAAAAGAGAAAGGAAGCUGGUUAAAAUUAGUUUGGAUAAAGGAUCAUGUUAGAAAGUAGAAAAAAAUUAACAAGCAAACUAUAGGUCAAAUAGUUAUGUAGGUAAAUUUUGUGUUUAAGACACUCAGAACUAACAUUUUAUUCUUUUUUCCAAAUGAUAUGGCUUCUGUAAUGACUGGAGUUGUGAUUCACCAACAGUCCGUUCACAAGGGCCUCAGAUCCGUGAAUGUGGGAAUGGAACAGAAAGCUAUUUUGCAGAACCAGAGAACAUAGGCGGCCUUCUACCUGCCUGAAACUCUUUCUUCACUUGAUUUCCACGAUACCACGCUGACCUGGGGCUCGUCCCUCCUACCUCACUAUGUGUUCUUUCUACGGAUUUCCUGCUGAUCUCUUCUGAUUUUUCUGAUCUCUGAAUGUUGGGUUUUGCCCCAAGGCUCAGCCUUGGGAUCUGUUUUCUUUUCUUUCUACACUUAUUAUCAAGGUGCUAUCAUUCAGUCUCAUGCUUUAAAACUCCAUGUAUAUGCUGGAACUUAGCCAUAUCUCAC